GAGGGUGUUGCUCCUGUGGUAGAGCACACGCUUAGCAUGCAUGAGGUCCUGGGUUCAAUUCCUUGCACCUCCU
RNAcentral lists this transfer RNA (73 nucleotides) under Camelus bactrianus (Bactrian camel). It matches the Rfam family "tRNA". Rfam says of the family: Transfer RNA (tRNA) molecules are approximately 80 nucleotides in length. Their secondary structure includes four short double-helical elements and three loops (D, anti-codon, and T loops). Lineage: Eukaryota; Metazoa; Chordata; Mammalia; Artiodactyla; Camelidae. RNAcentral also lists the same sequence under 1 other name. The record is from Rfam by way of RNAcentral.